UACUUAGUGGCAGACGGGUGAGUAACAUGUAGGUAUCUGCCCUUUGGCCUGGAAUAACACGAGGAAACUUGUGCUAAUACCGGAUAAGUCUUUACGGAGAAAGCUUUAUGCACCAUUGGAGGAGCCUGCACUAGAUUAGUUUGUUGGUGGGGUAAUGGCCUACCAAGACUGUGAUCUAUAGCUGAUUUGAGAGGAUGAUCAGCCACAUUGGGACUGAGACACGGCCCAAACUCCUACGGGAGGCAGCAGUGGGGAAUCUUGCACAAUGGAGGAAACUCUGAUGCAGCGAUGCCGCGUGAGUGAAGAAGGCCUUUGGGUUGUAAAGCUCUUUCGUCGGGGAAGAAAAUGACUGUACCCGAAUAAGAAGGUCCGGCUAACUUCGUGCCAGCAGCCGCGGUAAUACGAAGGGACCUAGCGUAGUUCGGAUUUACUGGGCUUAAAGAGUUCGUAGGUGGUUGAAAAAGUUAGUGGUGAAAUCCCAGAGCUUAACUCUGGAACUGCCACUAAAACUUUUCAGCUAGAGUAUGAUAGAGGAAAGCA
This 540-nucleotide ribosomal RNA is filed under the name uncultured Pelagibacterales bacterium. RNAcentral describes it as "bacterial SSU rRNA". It matches the Rfam family "Bacterial small subunit ribosomal RNA", at positions 89 to 663 of the family's 1533-position model. The record is from RNAcentral. Lineage: Bacteria; Pseudomonadati; Pseudomonadota; Alphaproteobacteria; Candidatus Pelagibacterales.